Molecule: non-coding RNA, 78 nt
Organism: Podarcis lilfordi (Lilford's wall lizard)
Lineage: Eukaryota; Metazoa; Chordata; Lepidosauria; Squamata; Lacertidae
Source: the annotation of a GenBank genome assembly
UGAGGGAUAGCUCAGUGGGUACAGUGUAAGACUCUUAAUCUCAGGGUUGUGGGAUUGAGCCCCACAUUGGGUGAAAAA